RNAcentral lists this long non-coding RNA (40276 nucleotides) under Arabidopsis lyrata. Its description in RNAcentral is "long non-coding RNA (ALYR_LNC002634)". The record is from RNAcentral. Lineage: Eukaryota; Viridiplantae; Streptophyta; Magnoliopsida; Brassicales; Brassicaceae.
UGUUUUUCUUGUCGCAAACUAUAGAAUUUUUCAAACAAAAAUUGAACAUUCACCAAAUUCAGAUUACUAUUGAUAUAUCACUAGUUUAGGUUUUCAUAAUCACUUGUGCGAUUGUAUUAUAGUUCAUUGACUUAGAAAUUUGUUCAUCAUCGAGAAACGAAUCGAAAACUUCAAAAGGUUGGGCUCGUGCCUUGAUCUAUUUUUUUUUUUUUAAUUGCAGUUUUUCUUUAAAUAUGUGGAAGUUUUGCUAGAUUCGACAAUCUUAGUAAAAUCAAAAUGGUUGAUUCAUUUCUUUGAUAUUGUUAGUCUACUUGACUACUUGAUAUCUAUGGUUUAGAUUUUAUUCGGCAAUGAAAAACAGUUGUGAUGUUAAUUUGUUUUUUGCAGAUGCAGUAUAGUUGUCAUAGUCAAAUUCAGUUGUACAUUGAACAAAAAUCAGUGUACAAUGCGUGUUUUUAUGAUGGCAAACUAUACAAUUUUUCAAACAUAAUUUGGACAUUCACAAAAUUCAGAUUUUGGAAAGAAUUUCUAAAACCACAGUGUAAAUCCCAUCAUAAAUUUCAAUUUUGUUUUUUUGAUGAAAAUUAAGAACAGUUGGAAAUCGAAUAUAAAAUUAUUGUUGUAUGUCACAAUUAAACUUUAGAAAUUCUCAAGGUUUGGAUUUCAAAUAAGUUUACACUUACACCUAUGAAUGAAACAUGUGUCAUUGCAUAUUUUCUUGGUUGCAAAGUGACCUUGAAAAUCUAUUUGUUGUUUUAUUGUUACUUCAAUGUCCCAAAUUUGUAUAGUUUUUAUAUUUUCAUAGUUAGUUUGAAAAAUCAACCUUCAUAAAACUUAAUAGUUGUAUAAUUUAUAUAUCUAAAUAGAACUGACUAAUAUAUUCUCUCAGGAUAAAGAUUUGGAGAGGUUGAAGCAUGCUCGAUAGCGUUCUCCGUUACUAUUCUAGAAUAAGUCUUUCUUCCCAAAGAUGUAGAUAUGCUCCAAAACUGGUUACCACCCCAUACAUCUCCAUUGUAAUCCUCAUCAAAUUUAGGUUUCUUCACACCAAAAUCUAAAUUUUGAUUUUAUAUUUUCAUAAUUAGUUUGAAAAAUCAACCUUCAUAAAACUUAAUAGUUAUAUAAUUUAUAUAUCUAAUUAGAAUUGACUGAUAUAUUCUUUCGGGAUAAAGAUUUGGAGAGGCUGGAGCAUGCUUGAUAGCGUUCUCCAUUACUAUCCUAGAAAGUCUUUCCUCCCAAAGAUGUAGAUAUAAUCCAAAACCGGUUGCCACCUCAUACAUCUCCAUUGUAAUCCUCAUCAAAUUUAGGUUUCUUCACACCAAAAUCUAAAUUUUGAUUGUUCUGAGGAUCACCCCCUUAUAUGUAUGCUUCAUCCUCAACUUCUAAGACCUCGAUAGCGAGAAUUGUUGGAUCUCCUUGACAAGUAUGGAAGCAAAUGGUUGAUGUCCCAUUGAGGAGAAAGAUAAGAGCUUCAACAAACACUUGGUCAUCCUUCUUAGUCCAGCCCAUAAUCAAAGUUGAAACCAAAGUCCCUUCAAUAGAUAUGUCGAAAAUGGUUUUUUUUUCUUUCUCAAAACAUGUCUAGUUAACCAGCCCAAAGAAGAUCCUGACAGAAUAGUGGCCCACUAGCACUCUGACCAGGUUAUAAUAGUUGGUUGGUCCAGCAGAUUCUGGGAAAUAGUGCAUCGUUUUCAAGGAUGGAGUGAUGUUACUUAAUGUUGUUGCAUUGGUAGCUAAUCCUCCUGUAAAAGUUGUAUCCUGUUGGGGUCGGAUUUCACCCAUAUCUUGAGACCGAGCCAAACAUCGAUAGGAGAAACAACUCGGCAUAUGUUCUCUCUACUCCGUUGCUUCGGAGACUUCCUAAUCGCCUUAGGAGAUAUUCAUCACCACGAGAUGCAGCUCGGCCACCUCGGGUACAAGUUAUACUAUCAUUACACCCGAGCCGGUUUCACCUCGGGUACAAGCCCGAGGCAACUUCACCCGUGUUCCUAAGCCAACUUCACCCGUGUUCCCGAGCCAACUUUGCCCGUGUCCCCGAGCCCAAAUCGCCUAGGGGUACACCUCAAAUCGCCUAGGGGCACACCUCACAUCGCCUCGGGGUACAUGCCAAAUCGCCUAGGGGUACACCUCACAUCGCCUAGGGGUACAGUUCACAUCGCCUCGGAUACAGGCCACUCAGGCGCCCUCUCCUGAACCAAUCACACCAGUCACCCGAGGUGAAGUCCUCAGUCACCCCGAGGCGAAGUCUUCAGAGUGACCCGAGGCGAAGUCUGCAGAGUCACCUGAGGCAAAGUCUUCAGAGUGACCCGAGGCGAAGUCUGCAGAGUCACCCGAGGUGAAAUCUUCAGAGUCACCCGAGGCAAAGACUUGGUUAAACAUUCACUUCCAUAGUAUCACUUCCGAAUAGAACGGCAUCAUUUCCGAAAAAGAAGGAUCAUUUCCGAGAUACUCGGAAAUGAUAAGGAAUAAUCUUGAAGGAUCUUUGCAAAUCAGGAAAUCUUCCAAAAGCCUCCGAAGAAUAAGGAAAGUAUCCUUAUCCGCAAUAUUCUAAGACGACUCCGAGGAAAAUGGAAAUCUUCCGAGAAUAUCGGUGGAGAGGCGGUUUACUAUCCCUAUAUAAAGCGACUCAAGGUCUUCACAAAAAGGGGACAAGCAAUAUCGCUCUAGAAUUUACACUACGCAAAGCUCUCAUAGCACAAACAUCUUUUCUUUUACGAUCAAACUCUUGUACGAUCAAAACUACUCUUUUCAUCAAUAAGAUCAAGAACACCAUCUUUGGUUACAAUUGUUUCUGUUGUUCUUUGAGAAUUCACAUUUAUCGUAUCCCUAAAUUAAAACCCUAGACAAAUCUCGAUUGUGUUAGUUUCGACUUCCACAUAUCCUUGUGCCACAGUCUGUAACUUGGUGGCGAUUUGACACUUUGAAGAGCACCACAAAUGAUCCGGAUUGAAUGUAGCUCUAAAAAGCAAGGAAAAUCAAACUGAUCCAACAAGAGAAUCUCGAGGAGAAUCAAAUCAAUAUUCAAAGCCUUUGUUGGUCUGAUUAUGGAAUAUAAGAGCAUUCAUAUACUAAAGCCAUCAAAACUAUCCCAAGUAAAUUUAACUCAGCUCUAAACUAAUCAGCAAAAUAAGAACUUGCAAAUUAUCAGUUAUUCAAAGACAUUUCUUUGUUGGUCUGAUUCUGGAAUAUAAGAGAACUCAGAUACUAAACCCACCAAAACUAUCCCAAGUAUCAUCAAAAUAAAGUGAUUGUUUGAGAAACUUUACAAGAUUCUGAAAAACUAAUCAACAAGAUUAUAGAAAACUCUCUAACAAUUCUAGAAUCGUUCACUUGUUUACUUUCUAUGGUUUUAUUAAAGUCAUCAAGAUUCUUUGUAAAUUAGGAACCAAUAACACCCCCUUAACUUAGCUCUACUACUCAGCAAAAAUAGGAACUUUGCAAAUUUUCAGUUAUUCAAAGACAUUCCUUUGUUAUCCUGAUUCUGGAAUAUAAGAGAACCCAAAUACUAAACACACCAAAACUAUCAAAGUAAACUUAACUAAGCUUUAAACUAAUCAACAAAAAUAGGAACUUUGAAAAGAAAUGCUAACCUGGUUGAGCCAAGGAAGAUGAGAGAACAAACGCCGAAAUGAGAACACAUGCGAGAGCAAAACGAAGCAUCGUCGUCAUCCUUGAAUCUUCGACGAUGCAAGUUUAGGCGGACCUAAUCUAUAUACAUAUAAACUUGGGUAUUGAGCAAAAAAACAACCUCCAAAUAUCAAUUUUUUUUUUUUUUUUGCAAUUUUACUCUUAAUUUAUAAAAAUAUGUAAAUCAACCCCACAAAAUCUAAUUUAACCCGCAAUAUAAGUCUUGGUCACUAGUUUCAAUUUGUCAAAUCGAAACCUUGCGAUGAGAAGUCUAAAUCUUUUUUUUUUUGUCAUCCGAAAUUAAUUAACACUAAAAAAAGCCAUUCAUCGGGAAUGUUGUUUACAUAUCUAAAAAUACUUUAAUGAAUGUGGCCGUACAAACUCUCUAAAAAUACACAUAAGGUUUAUAUUAUGCAUUAAAUUAUUGCAAUGGAACAGAGGUGAAAAUCGGGGAAAAGGGCCUAUUUCCACCCCUACUAUUUGGACGGUUCCGUUUCCUACCUACACAACGAGUUGGUGCUUAUUUCAAUAGUUUUCGUAACAAAUUUCAAAUUAACUACCCAUACUCUGUGUUUAUAGUUGAAUUCAACAUUGACUCAAACGGACAUUAGUCAACCGUUAAAAUAGUAGAGUCGGAUGACACGGUGGCAAUUCAAAAGAGGGAAAAGAUCCUAUUUCCACCCUUACUAAUUGAACGGUUCCUUUUCCUACCCACACAACGAAUUGGUGUCCAUUUCAACAGUUUUUGGAACAAAAUUCAAAUUAACCAUUUGAAAUUUGUGAUGACAAGAUUAUUUUAAGAGGAUUUAGCAUUAACUACAAAAUAGUAGUUGGCUUUAUAUCCAUGAUUUAGAUAUAAAAUAAAUACAUGUAAUUCUGUGUCACUAUAUAUUAAAUCUGAAUAUAGAGUAGAUCUUUGCGAAUUAUAUAUAAGACAUUUUUUUUUAUAAAGGAUUAAGAGAUGAAUAUCUAAAGACUUGAUGGUGUUGAUAUUUUUAUUGGUGUUUCAUUCUAGUAGAAUGUGUUUAAUGUUUAGUGCUGCUAGAUUUAUCUUUUAUCACCGAAAUCUAAAUAAAAUCCUGAAUAUAAAGUUGUCAGAAUUACACAAAACGAUGUUGGAAAAUAUGUGUUAUUGAUAUAAGACGGCUACAUACAUAUAUAUACUAGUUAGGGAACACUAACCCUAAUUACAUAAAUAUUAAACCUAAUAAAGCCUAUAAUCAAAGGCCUGAUCUGAUUCUAAUCAUAGGCCUGAUAUCAAGGGUUUGAUCCGGCCCUAUUACACCUCCCCCCUCUCAAGUUGGAAGUGUGUAGAUUAAGAACACCCAACUUGCUGAGAAAAUCUUUGAACUCUUUCUGUCCCAAAGCUUUGGUGAAGAUAUCAGCCAGCUGUGCAUGAGUCGAAACAUGUUGCGUUGAAAUAGUACCCUUAACAAUCUCAUCCCGCACAAUAUGACAAUCAACCUCAACAUGUUUAGUCCUCUCAUGGAAUACAUGAUUAGCACUAAUAUGGAUCGCAGCUUGACUAUCACAAAACACGCUCAUUGGACGUGUCAUCACAACUCCAAGAUCCGUCAACAAACCUUUGAUCCACAAGAGCUCAGCAGUGAGCAUUCCCAUAGCUCGAUAUUCUGCUUAAUUUGAAAUUUGUUCCGAAAACUGUUGAAAUGGGCACCAAUUCGUUGUGUGGGUAGGAAAAGGAACCGUUCAAAUAGUAAGAGUGGAAAUAGGACCUUUUUCCCUCUUUUGAAUUGCCACCGUGUCAUCCGACUCUACUAUUUUAACGGUUGACUAACGUCCGUUUGAGUCAAUGUUGAAUUCAACUAUAAACACAGAGUAUGGGUAGUUAAUUUGAAAUUUGUUACCAAAACUGUUGAAAUAAGCACUAACUCGUUGUGUAGGUAGGAAACGGAACCGUCCAAAUAGUAGGGAUGGAAAUAGGCCAUUUUCCCAUGAAAAUCGAUGUUGAUUAGUUUUAGUAUCUUUGGGCUCCAGCUACGUUCAUUAGGGAGAAUCAGAAUGAAACCUUACAAAUGGAGAUUGUUACUGAACCAAAUAAUUUCAACAAAAGGACUUCUCUACAAACAUACAAUUCUCUAGGAGGCGGAUAGAAGACAUAAGCCUUUCUAGAAUUCGACCGUCACCACCAAAUUUUAGUCUUAGUUUCAUUCAUAAAGUUUUUAACAUCUUUGAAAAAUAUUUCCGAUAUACGUAAUAAUUUAAAUAUUUGAAUACAUUAUCACAAUAAUUUAAUACGUAAACACAAUCAAAUAAUUUUUGUAAUUUAAUACAUAAAUAUAAAAGUUUGUGGAAAAUAAAUUUCGUCUACGACAUCACAGGGAUUCAUAACCUAGUAUAUAUAACUACGAGAUAUGAAAUGCGGUAUCUCUUACUAAUAAAAGGAUAGUUUGAGGCUUCUCAGCCUAGCUACAUCAGCUUUCUCAACUACUACCUUAUCAAUUGCCACGUCAUCAGAAUCACUCAGCUUAUCCACGUCACCAUGCAUAGUCUAUUGCGAGACUUUAAUAACCAAUAAUGAAAGGCAUCAAAAAAAUAAAACUCAAUUAGCCUAAACUGGCGUUAUAACUCAUCACCCACGAUAGAAUUCACGAUCUCUUCAGUUUUCUCUACUCAACAUACGUACAAUUGGUUUGUGAUUCGAGACGGGAUAGCGUGGUAUGAUUUUUCUAAACAUCUCCAACCUCUUUGGGGCAGACGAUAGGUAGGAUUUAGCUAUUCUUCUUCUCUUUUGCUUAUUAUUCAAUUUUAUUGGGGUUUCACAUCAGUCUACAUGUUAAAUACAUGUUGUUUUUUCAUGUAGAGGCAUCAAUCGAUGGUAUGGUGUGGUGAUGAUGUACCAUCGACUGCCAAUUAGGGUUACCUCAUCUUUUUCAGUUGAUAACUUCCUGAAAGUUCAAUUUGUGCCCCUUCACAUUCUUCCUAUGAUUCUCUUAUCUGGAGUACCUAUAGGCUAUAGGUUUGUAUUAUUUUUAGUUUCCGCUUCAUUUUUGAUGCAAGGACAAAGAAACAUCAUUUGGGUUUUUGUGGGUAGAUUUCCGUGUGCUAUUACACCAUUUGAUCAUUCACGAUCACUUCCAUUACGAGCAUUUGUUAAUCUAUUUUACAAUUAAUAUUAGAGUCACAAUUUUAGAAAGCGUGUGCGUGUGUUUAUGUUUCGUAAGUUUUGGUUCAGUGCUUUUCUAGCACAUGUAUCUCUCUCUUCUAUUUGGAUAUAAAUUUCACUUCGUAAAGGUUUCCAGAAAAUCAUAAAAUGUAUGAGUUAAAUUGUCAUAUGCAACUUCAAAAAGUGUCUCACCUUCAUACUGUUUUUAUUUUGAUUGGGUUGUAAGCAGUUCUUAGGGACUUCAUACAAAGGUUUGCAUGUUACUCUUAUUUAUUGGCAAUAUCUUUUCUUUUUCCCAAGGAACAUGAUGAAAACCAGAGGAAGUUUAAGCUUUUGGAGCUAAUUAAUGAAGGCUAACAAAAAACACUUCUGAGAGCAGAGGAAGCUUAGGGGGUUUAUUUGGAACACUGAUAUGUAAGGAGCCGUAGGGAGAAAAACUCCUUACAUGGAGUUUGCUUCUUAAUACAAUGAGUUAGAUCAAUAACUAUAACUAUAACUAUACAAUGAGUUAGAUUAAUUGAGGAUAUUUCUAACAUACACUAUAACUAUAAGAUCUCGACUUCUAAGUUCUGAAGUUUUAUAAUUUGUUUUGGGAAACAAGUUUUAUAAGUUCUGAUUUUUUUCUUAGCUACCUAAUACGUAGUUAGUCAUCAUAUGUUUUACAAGUUCAAAAGCAUCCUAACCAUUCAAAUUUCACACUUUGUGGAGUUAGAAGCUUCAACGGUGAUACUAAGGAGGGGUUAUUGGUUCAUAGAUUUAUAUGGAAUUAGAAAUCCAAACAAAAAUCAUUUGUUAUUCAAUCAUUGAUUUUAAAAUCCUAAUUAAAUUCAUGUGUUAUUGGUUCUAUGAUUUAUAAAUACUAUUUAAAAUCUUAUGUUAUUCGUUUAGUCAUUUGUUUUUGGAUUUGAGAAUCCAAAUUAUGUUUUAAAUGGAAUUGAAUGGAAUUGAAAGAGAAAAAUAGAAGGAUUCAAAUCCAUGGGUAAACACAUGUUAUUUCAAAAUCCAUAUAUCUUGAUUUCAUAAUUAAUAGAAAUUUUCAAAUUUUAUAUGGAUUUACAAAUUAACAAACUAAUAACACCCCCUAAACUUUUAGAUACAAAUAUAACAAUUGUCAAAUAAUACUUAAAAUUUUACAAUUGUCAAAUAUACGCCCGGACUAACCCCUAGUUCUAUAUAAAAGUGUUAUGUACAUUUAAUAUUGUAAAGUAAGUAUAACAAAAAUAAUUUGGAUAAAUCGACGAACAACAAAGUUGAAAAAAUAAUUUAGAAGCACUUUUUUUUUGGGAUCAAACAUGGUUUAGCUUUGGUCAAUUUUCAAUUCUAGCCUACCUUAAUCGGAAAUACCAAAUACGUAUAUGGUUCGGAAUAUGAAUAGCAAACACAUUCCAAUGUCUGGAUUUAACCGUGAUCCUCUCUCCUCAAUAUCUAUACUAGUAUUUUUGCAACACUUUCAGUAUUUGUAAGCUCUGAAACAAACUUUUCAUCUUCCAUCUCAAGCAUAUCAAACCCUUUCUUGAGAGUAACAGCAGCUUGCAGCAUCAUAAAGGUCGAAUUCCAUCUUGUUUCAACAUCUAAACAGAGACCAGCCUUUGAUUCAACCUUUUGAAUCUCUAAACACUCAUUAAACCUUUUCAGCCUACUAGGAGAAGAUCGAACAUACCUAACAGCUGAUCUAACCUUUAAGAUUGAAGCAUUUUUUUCUUGAAGACCAUCUCUCACAAUCAGACCUAAAAUAUGUGCUCCACAUCGCAUGUGCAGAAAUUCUCCAUCCAAGAUUGUUGUUCCCCAUGAUGUCAACUUUCUUUUCAAGUAUCUUAUUGCAAGAUCAUUAGAACUUGCAUUAUCUACUGUAAUGGUGAAGACCCUUCUGAUUCCCCAGAAAACCAAACACUUGUCAACCAUUUUACCAAUGGUUUCACCAGCAUGAUUAUCAACAAUGCAGAAAUUUAUGAUCCUUUUGUGCAGCUUCCAAUUCUCAUCUACAUAGUGAGCAGUUAGACACAUGUAGCUCAUGUUCUGUAUGGAUGUCCAGCAGUCCGUAGUCAGAGAAAUACUGCCAUUAUAGUUUCUGAAAAACUUUCUCAAUUUGCUCCUUUCAUCCGCGUAAAGCUCCAAACAAUCUUUAGCCACAGUUUGACGACAAGGUAUAGCAAAACGUGGUUGAGCAAUGCUCAUAAAUCUUAUGAAUCCCCUAUGCUCGACAAAUCUAAAAGGCAGCUCAUCCAUAAUGAUCAUUUCCACUAAUCCCUUACGGGUUGCUGGUUGACUAAAUGGCAUAAAAGAUGGAACUUUACUCCCUUCAUCCGUACACUUACGAUGAAAUAAUGUUGAUUGCUUCAGCUUUUUACCUUCAUUUUCAUCUUCAUCUUCUUCUAGAAUAAUCAGCUUGCAUGUCUUGAUGUGGCCUGUAAAGAUGAGAACUUGUUUACAAUCAAAUGAAGAUCAAAAGUAACUAAGGUUUUGACUCUAGUCAAGUUAAGAUUGGGUUAAGUUACUUUUGGGACCACAAAGAGGAGCCUUUGUGUUUUGUCAUCUUGUGCACUAGGUUUAAGGAUGUCUCCUUGUAUUUAAGUAGUUGGGGACGUGAGAGAGAUUGUAGCAGCACACAAUGUAGAAAGAGGGUGAGAGAGGAACACAUAGAAAGCAUUAGCUUUGGGGUGGGUUUUCUCAUUAGAACAAGGGUGUGAUACAGAGUAUUAGUGUGUUAGCGAGAAGGUGUUUUCACAUUGUAAUAUCUCUUGUAUCUUUGUUCAUUUCUAGUGGAUUCCGAGACAAGGUCUCGGCGAGAUGUAGGUAGUGUCACAUUGACACUGCUGAACUCGUUAAACGUGUGUGUGCUCCCUUCUUCUCUAUUCUCAUCUCUAAUAUCUCUCUGCUCUGUUUUCUUGCUGCAACAUAAGCCUCUCUGUUUUAACAAAUCCGUUUUUGCACCAAACUACUUUAGUCUUGGUUGUAUGAGGUUCAUGCUCUAGAAAGUUUAAGUCUUUUGAGCUUCUGAAUUCUCAACAAGUGGUAUCAGAGCUUAGGUUCUGUGUAUUGUGGUUCUCCAAGCCAGAGAAUCAUGUUUUGUCAAGAAAAGAAGUGGUAGAGUUUGGUGCUUGUGGAAACUUUGCUAUGCGGAAGGAGAAACUCAUGGAUACCCUGCAGUUUCUAAGCAUGAGUGAAGCGUUGAAGAUGACUGAGAUUUCAAGAAGGAAAGUCUCAGAUCUAAGAGAAGUAGAAGCAAAAAGAGAGAAAGAAGAUUCAGAUCUAAGAGAGAAAAGAUCUAGAGAAAGAAGGAGAGUGAAGAAAGGUGAAAAGGUUGGAUCUUUGGAAAGCUAGAGCAGCAAGGCUCCUUUGCUUUAAGCAUCCAUGACCUUUCUGUGGAGAGCUUGUUUGUGCAGAGACAAGAAGCGUCUCAGGUGCAAGAAUCAAACAGAAGCUCUUGGUAAACAGUGUAGAAGAGAUAAAGAUGUCAUAAAACUCUAUCUUGGUGGAGCACUGUUGGGUUUUCUCAGGUGUUGAGAAAUAUUGUGGAGACAUGAGUGUCUCUGGCUCUAAAAGCAAUCUAAGUCUCUUGGAAAAGAGCACGAACCAGUGGAGAAGGAGUUAUAGGACUCGGUCUGGUGACAAUAAAGCAUCUCAUUCACAUCAUCUAAAAGAAGCAAAAGUUGCAGGUUUUCUAGUUGCUAUCUUAGAAGCAGUUCCUGUUGAAACAGGAGAAGAAGUAACAGAGGUAACUCCAGAGACUAUUUCAGAGCUGUUGCAGAGCCAACGACAGUUACAGAGACAGCUACAGAGACUGUCUCAGAGGUUGCUGCAAAAGCUCAGGUUAUGGUUUGUAGUUGAGUGUGAAAGUGAGAUGUUAACAAGUUGUACCAUAAGGAGAGAUUCAUAUAUAGCAGAAGUUUUGAAUCAAGUGAGGUGAUUUCUAGGUCAUGAAAUCAGGUUUCCUCUAAGUUCUUAAAGGGUACAAGAAGCUGCAACAUAGUGAGAAGGAUUUAUAAUCACUCACAAGUCAACAUGUUGCUAGCACAAAGAAAAUUCAGAGAUGAAUGAAAGAAAUACGUGAUCAAAGAUGGUCUUCUUGAUCACUGCUGAAGAAACCGAUCAGAGUUUAUGUAGGAAUCAAAACAUAAACUUCAAGACUCAAAUUAUGGGAAAUUUCAAGUCUAAUUCCGCUGCAGUCACAAGGUGUUUGUGAUGCUCUGUAUUGAAGUUUCAGAUUUGCUCAAGUUCUGCAGGUUUAUGGGAGUUGAAAGCUGGUUAACACAAAGGCAGUGUUAUGAUUUUGCAAGCGAUUGGCCAAGAUUCAGUGAUGGUUUCAGGUCAACAUUUGUGUGGUAAAAUCAGUUGCAGGUGGUGUUUAAAUACUGUUGUAAUCGCAGCCUCGGAAACUCAUAACAUUCAUGGGACUAAGGGACGCCUUAGAAGCUUGAAUUUUACGUGUAUUAGGCUGUGGAGUAUCAGUAAGGUUUUCUGGAUUCUCUAAAAAGGGUUUUGCAGAUCAGAAUUGGGUGAAUCAGAGAAUGAAGUUUGCUAGAACAGGAACAAGUUUGUUGGAACAACAAAAGCUGUUAUUGUUCUGUAUCGAGAAGAUGUGCUGGAGCACUGAAAAGUUGUUGGUAUGUCAGUGUUAUUAUCGGUAUAAGCUGAUAAAAACUGGAAGUCUCGAGGUGUUCACUUCAAGGGUUUGGCUGAGUUUUGAAAGGGGUUUCGGUUGUAGGUUUAUCUCUGUGUGUAGUUCUCAGUUCUUGUGAAUGAAAGAGUCUAUAGGUUGUGGAUUAUCAGAGAACGUGAAGCUACAAGGCUGCUAUUUUCAGAGGGAAUGCAGCGUCAUUUGUAAGUCCAUUUGUUUGGUGUAAGCUGGACAGUUUGUGGUUGUAGGUCAUGAGAACGAAUUCUCUUGACAAGGUAGUGGCAGCAUAAAAGAUUCAUGUUCUACGCAAAUUUGUGUUUGGCAUAACACAUGGUGAUUUUGCUUAAGGAACAUGGAGUUCUUAUCUCGGGUGGAGCAAUAUUUUCUCAGAGUGUAUCUUGUGUUUUGUGUUUUUUGGAUCAGAUCUUCAAGUGUUAAAAGAAGCAUCUGAUGGUAUGCAAUUGGCUGUACUAUUUUCUUGUGUCGAAAGUCUUCCUAGCCAAAGGGUGUUAGGCGGCGUGUCCUGUUCGUUUGAACAGCGGUGCAAGAUAAGUAUAUAGUGGAAUUGGCUACAGGAAAGUACAAGAUUUUAUUUAUGAGAUUGAGGUAUGGUUUGAUGGUGUAUCAGCCUAAGUUGUUUCACAAUUAGAUCAUGAAGAAUGUUCCAAGUAAAGAGAGGACAAGGCUGCAGAAAUUAAAGACAAGUUCUUAGUGGUUUUCUAGUUGCAAAUGGAUCAUUUGAGGUGGCUGAAGGAAGAAAGAAGAUGUGUCUCAUGUUUUGACACACUUUCUCAAGCAAGUAAUCAUGGUGAUUCAUAAGAACGUGGAAAUGAAUCCAAGAUACAGUGAAAAGUGGCUUUAACUCAGAUUGGUGAAGCUCAGCUUAUAGAGACAAAGUGCAUCCAAGGGUUAUAGUUUCAGGUGGAGUAUUGUUGCUACAAAAGGAGCAAUGCAUAUCUAAGGAUAUUUUUUCCUUCAUGGUGGAGCUAUGUUUGUGGAUGGUGUCUCGGAAGGUUAGCUGAAGAUAAAAGAGUUAAAUGGCUGUGUAACUCACUAGUUUAUCAGAUUCAUGGAAGUUCAGUAUGCUAAUAAGAGAACAAGUCAAGAACAGUUUAUUAUCAACGGGUUUUUCAGCUCAAAGAAGGUUAUAGUCUGAGGGUACAAGGCUGGUUACAAUUUUUGGUUUUGAAGCUGAUUGUUGGUGAUGAUAUCCAGAAACAGAGCUGCAGGUUUCUAUGAAAGAGUUGCAGGUUUUUUGAAAGCUUUUUUCAGAAGAUCCUAAGAUGUAAACAAAGAUGAAGACAUUGAAGUGGUUAAGUGAGUUCUCUAAAGGAGAAACUGAAAGGAGACAAGCACGAGUGUUGCAGGAGUUGUCUCAAGGCUGUUCACUUCGGGAAUGUGAAAGUGUUGUGUAUCAAGUUUGAUAACAACCCAUCUCAAAGCUGGUCUUGGUAACUGAAAAAGGAAUCCUAUGAAGGAUGUAAAUGCAGAGAAUGCAUUUGGAAGACAACAACUAAGGAGUUUUUUUUUUUUAGUUUUGGUUGUCUGCAUCAAAGGGGAGUAUAUGUAAGUAUCCUCUCAGAGAAAGAUACUUGCAGGCCAUUCAAGUGGAGUAUCUUCAAGUAUCAUAUGAUGAUAAAGAAGAAAAAGACUUUGGUUAAGUCUGAAAAUUGGAUGAUGCAAGGUUCAAAUCAUUUGGUGGAGGUCCGCAGGUUUUGCAGGACUGUACUACAGUAGAAAGUGCAUCAGAAUUCUAGAAUGGAUGUGAAAGGUGCUGUAAGGAUUGUCUCAGGGUUAUCACAAGGUCUUGUUGAUGUGAGACAGGUUUAAAGAUUGCUGGUAGUGGUUAAAAUCUGCUGGUAAAGGCUCUGUUUAAACAUAACAGUUGAACAAAGGAUGUGUUCUGGAUUGGUUUUGUUAAACAGGUUUGUAAAAGUAAUCUCAGGUUUCAGUGGUUCUUAACGGGCUGAUGAGAUUGUCUGCAAUGGUGAAUCAAGAGCUUCAAAGCUGAAGCUAAGAUGAUUCAGAUACUGCAUAAGAUUCAGAAAAAAGAUUUGAUUCAAGGCUCAGUGCACAUGAGAUGAAUCAAGUAGUCGACAAAGGAAUCAGGUUUGCAGAACGAAAAAAAAAGGAUGAUUACAAUCACUGAUACAUGUGUGUGGUCCUAACAGAGGCCAUGGUGGAGAAUGUGUGAUUGCACGUUUCAUAGGUGGUGAAGCUUAUGGAGUUUUCUGUUGAUAUUAACAAGUUGGAGGCGUUUCGUAACUUGUUAAUGGAGUUUUCUGAGCGGUGAUAUCAAGUAUUCAGGAGUUGAAUGCAUCAUAGAAGGUGAUCAGGGAAGAGUUGAGCUUAAUGCAAAACUGCAUUGAAGCUGGGUUUCACAACUCGUGAUCUAAAGAUGUGUUGAUGGCUCAGGUUCAGCAGUGUGAGCAGUCACAGCUGAAGUGUAUUGAAUAUAAGUUUAAUGCAGGAAGGAUCAAGCAGGUUUAUAGUGUUUUUUAAACUGCUAAGGAUCAAAGGCUAAGUAAUGAUACUCAGAGCCAAGACUGAAAUCCAAGGUUCAGGGUUCAAAAUCUCUCUCUUCAAGCUAAGUGCAGGCUGGUUUAGGAUUGAUCAACAUGUUCUCAGGUGGAGAUUGUAAAGAUGAGAACUUGUUUACAAUCAAAUGAAGAUCAAAAGUAACUAAGGUUUUGACUCUAGUCAAGUUAAGAUUGGGUUAAGUUACUUUUGGGACCACAAAGAGGAGCCUUUGUGUUUUGUCAUCUUGUGCACUAGGUUUAAGGAUGUCUCCUUGUAUUUAAGUAGUUGGGGACGUGAGAGAGAUUGUAGCAGCACACAAUGUAGAAAGAGGGUGAGAGAGGAACACAUAGAAAGCAUUAGCUUUGGGGUGGGUUUUCUCAUUAGAACAAGGGUGUGAUACAGAGUAUUAGUGUGUUAGCGAGAAGGUGUUUUCACAUUGUAAUAUCUCUUGUAUCAUUGUUCAUUUCUAGUGGAUUCCGAGACAAGGUCUCGGCGAGAUGUAGGUAGUGUCACAUUGACACUGCUGAACUCGUUAAACGUGUGUGUGCUCCCUUCUUCUCUAUUCUCAUCUCUAAUAUCUCUCUGCUCUGUUUUCUUGCUGCAACAUAAGCCUCUCUGUUUUAACAAAUCCGUUUUUGCACCAAACUACUUUAGUCUUGGUUGUAUGAGGUUCAUGCUCUAGAAAGUUUAAGUCUUUUGAGCUUCUGAAUUCUCAACAUGGCCUAACAUUGCGCUAGUUGUAGGACCAUCCUUGGUUCUACAUGUAAUCAUUGCAGAACAAUGACAACACUUAGCUUUGUCCUUAACAUUAGUCUUCACAAAAUGGUUCCAGGCUUUGGACUCUGUUUGUUGAGGUUGUUCUUCCGAUUCUGGUAAGCUUUCUUCCCAAGUACCAGUUCCACAAUUUGCUGUGGAUUUUGAAGCCCCAUCAGUAGAAUCCAUCUACACAAAGAAAACAAACUCGUGGUCAGACUUUGAUGUUAAAGCAUGCACUCAUAAUUUUUCCAAAUAGAAUCCAAUUGAAAAACCUAACAUAUCCAUAAGAGAUUUCACAAACAUUUAGAGAGAGAAGGAGCGUAGUACCGAAACAGAGAGAAGGUGCUAGGAAUAAAGAGAGAAUUUUGCAGUGAUGACAGAAGUCAAGCCGAUGAGAGAAUUUCUUGGGCAACGGCGUCGGCACACGGCAAUGGAAGAAGAAGAAGAAUGGUUUUGUUUUUGGUUUUUUAGGGUUUUGAUUUAUUUAUUAAUAUUAAAACACUUAAAAAUGGUGGGCUUACAGAUUUCUCUUUGGGCUUUAAGAUAUAAAUCAUAACUCAUAAAACCUUUAAGAGACAAUCUUAUAUUAUAUGGACCUAAAUAUAUAUGGACCUAAAUAGUGCCUGAUAUCCGUUAUCCGUUUUUAAUUUUAAGAGAAUCCGUAUCCGUAUCCGUUUUCAAAAUAUCCGUCAUUUACUAUUCGUAUUCGUAUCCGUUUUUCCGGAUCGAAAACCGGAUACGGAUACGGAUAUUCGCGGAUAGCGGAUAUUAAUCUCAGGCCUAACGGGUGGGUAAAAAUGCUUUUGGGUUAAUCGGAUAUCCAACCCAUUUUUUAAAUUCCUUCACAAAAAAUUUGUUGGAUCGGGUUAUAUUUAACUCAACUCAUACACCGGAUAUUCUAUAUUUAAUAAUUUAGAUAUUUAGAAGAUUUGAUUAAGAUUUAUAAUUAUGAUUCUCCUAUCAUCUUUGUUUGAUUUGUUUUUAAAUGUUUUGAAUCAUCAUAUAAUACAAAAAGUAAAAAAAAAACAAUUUUUUUUUCUGCAUAUACUGUGAUUCGAAAUUUUAAAAACGGACAUAUAUUAUCCAAUUGACGAAAAUGUGUGUUCAACGUUCUACAUCGAUUAAAAUAUUUAGAUAAUGAUUCAGAAUCAUAUCAUAAAUAAGAAUAUUAAUAAAAUAAAUGAGUUUUUUGGCCGGACGGGUUUGGCGUGACGGGUUUUUGAAUCAACAAUAAUAAAAAGAUUAAAAUAUCAUUAAUCCGCCGCUUCACUACGAAUUAAAUCCUUAUUUUUUUAAUACCACAAAUAUUAGAAAUAUUAAAUCAGUCUCAUUUAGAAAAGAUUGUAUAAAACCAAAAAUUGUCCUGUGGUAUAAUGUUACUUAAUAACAAUAUUUAUAAAAUUUUAAAAUAUCAUUAACAUGCCGCUUUAAUACAUACUAAAUUUUUAGUUUAUUAAAAUAUAAAUCUCUUAGAUAAUGAUAUGAUUUGUAAACUUUUAUAUAUAAUAAAUGAUCAUUAAAUUUUAAAAUAAAAACAAAUCACGGGACGGAUUAAGAAAUUACGGAACGGGUUAUAUUUCGGAAAGGAUUUAUAUAGCGAACGAAUUUGGAUCAAUAUUUAUACCGCUUUAAUAGGGGUUAAAUCCUCAGUUUAUUAAAAAUUGUCUCGUGGACUCGUGGUAUACCGUUACUUAAUAACAAUUGUAAACUAUAAUAUAAAUAAAUAUGUUAUAAGGAUAUACAAUUUACAAAAUAUUAUUAUAUUAACUUUAAAAUUAAAUCAUCCCGCGGUAUACCACGGGUUAAAAUCUAGUACUCUCUACAAAGACUCUAGUGGCCAGUUCAACUUCUUCAAGAAAAACUUAGUCUUCUUCUUAACUUUUUUUUUUUUUUUGUCAUCCGAAAUUAAUUAAAGCUCAAAAGAGCCAUUCCUGAGGAAUGUUAUUUACAUAAGUGAUAUGAAGCGGUUCUGUACGAACUUUUCGUGCCAGAUUAUCCGCCUUAACAUUAGCCCUACGAAAAAUUAAAGAUAAAGAAAAAGAUGAAAACUCCUCCUUGUUGCUCUGAAAUUCCUCCAAAUACACUAAAAACGCCGGCCAUUCGGUUGGAGAAGACACCAUCUUCACCAGGUCUGAACAGUCUGUAAGGAACGCUACCUCUUGAUUAUCUGCACCAAUCAUACACUUCAUCGCCCAGAGAAGGGCCUCAAAUUCGGCAUGUAGUGGAGAUAGACUUCUACGGAGGUUCGCAGCUCCCAUGGUUGGCGGCUCUCCAUUUGACGAUGUACAGAACCAGCCUGUACCAGAGAACUUAUCACUUUCUUUCCAUGAUCCAUCUACAAAACAACGAUAGUCUUCUUCUUAACUAUCUCUGCAGAAAUUAGUAAAAUGAAAUAUUUCGUAUGCUCUUGUUAAUUUCCAAAACAGAAUCUUUACGACAAUUCAUAUCAACAAGAGAAACAAAGAUAUUAUAAGUUAGAGGAACAAAAUUGAGUGAGCAAUAUCCUCCUAAUUGUAAAGAUUUUUUCAUACAAGACUGAUUCAUGAUCCUUCAGGGUAAAAGGUUCAGACACUCGUACACAAAAGCUAAUCUCUACUUCCCACAGACAAGCAUCAAGAUUCACAAAUGAAUCUAAACCUAACAGAAAACAAAAAACAAUCCUUAACGUUGCUCAUGGUUCUAGCCUUCUUGGCGUGGUGAGUGAAACAUGAUCCCCAAUGAAGAUAGCCAUCAAUUCAGCCACGAGCUGCUUGUCAUCAUCAUGUUUCCUAACAUACAAAUUUAAAAACACCUCACUAGUACUUGUCAAAACAGACGAUAUUGGAGGGAUUUCGCUUUCGAGCAAUCCUUUUGACAUGAGAAUUUUGAUUACAUUACACCUUGGGACAGUCCUUUUCUCUAGGCUGUAUCCAAGUACCUGAGGGACUGAAGCCACAGCCUUUACUGGCCAAUUCAUCUCCUUCACCAGAAACUCAGUCUUCUUCUUCACUAACUCUGUCGAAUAUCCAAUGCACUGAGGAAACCGCUUGAACAUCAUCAAAAACUCAUCUCUGCUGAAUCCUAGACCUAGAAAUGUUUCUACGGAGUUGGCUACCUUCUUCUCCGAGUGUCUCAGAGAGCGUGGCCACUUCUUGAACAUUGCCCAUACAUCGUCCACGGUGAAACCUAUACUUCUAUAGACUUCAACUUUUUCUUCAAUCGUUUUGUCGCUCAUUUGGUAAAGCAUGUGCAAAGCGUGCACAAACGUUGAGGUGGUUGGAUCAAAACCCAUCUCAACGACCUUCUUGAGUGAUGCAUCAAAAUUUUCUUUUCCACACACGGGCUGAAAUUUGGAGAUGAGCAAAGAUAAUAACCGCUUUCGAGGCACACCCAAAUCUCUCAAAACCAAAACAUUUCUGAUCUUGUUACCCUGUGGCAAAGAAUGAGAUAACUUUACAUACUUGGAACUCUUAUCCGCCUCUAUAAUGACUUUGAUGAAAUCAUAGUAUCUGCUGAUAGAUUUGCCCGCUCUCUUCCCCAAGAUUUUAGGAACUGUAGAAACAAUCUCAGUGAGCUCAGAGCUUGAAGCUCCUCUGGACUGCAAAAACUCAAGCUUUGAACCCAGGGAUGUCGCAGAAUUGGCAAUAAGCACUUGUGGAUCACUCCUAAUGAUGCUGGAGAUCUGAGAAUCUGUGAACCCAUAACUUCUAAGAAGAUCCAGAACCGAAUCAGCAUUGACUUUACUUGUGAGUUUUGCAGCUAAACGCAGUGAAUCAAGGAAUGAAGAAGCUUUAAAGGUCUCCCCUUUUCCACCAUCUUUAGGGUUUACAUCAGCAGCAGUAGCAGAGGAGAAGGAAUUAGAAAAAGCAGAUCCAUUUUGCAAUGAAACUCUCAAGUUACGCCAUUUCUGCAACCCCACGAACCUUCUUGCACCGAGUAUAAGAGAAUUCAUGACAACGCAAAGCGAUUACCUUUAAAGCGAUUCAAUUCGUGCCCAAGAUUAAAAAUUUCACCUUUUUUACUAUCGAGCAGCGAAGAAGAAGAAUCGACUUCAUUCACUUCAAUGGGGAAAAAGAAAGACACGGUUUUUAGGGUUUUCAGUUCUGGACCGGUUUAAGGACAAAUCAAUAACUGAUUUAAUUGGUUUACUUUUGGUUCAUAAAAUCACAGGUAAAUCAUAAAUUUCACUAUCUAUUUUCGGAAAAACGGUCUAUUUCCCCCCGAGAACUAUCGCAUCUGGCCAGAUAAAGCCCGAUCUUUGACCUUUGUCUAUAUACCCAUGAAACAAAAGUUAAAUGUUUAUUUCCCCACCAAUUGAAAGUUUGAGAUCUUAAUGUCCAUGAAUCCUAAGUUAGAGAUUUAAAACCCCAUAGCGCUGGGUUUAAUUGGUUUACUAUAUACCAAACCGAUGCUUUAACCACGUUAACCUAAUUAGAACCAGCCUUAACCCAAUUUACAACCCGUUUAUGACCCAUUACCCAAAAAAACAAAUCGAAACCUAAAACUAAAACCUAAAUCGAAAAUCCCCAAUUUGCUCUUGACGAACCCUCUUGAAUCCCCAAAUCACUUUUCCCCGAGUUUGAUCGAUGUCGUUAGCCCUUCACGACCCUGAUCUUGUUGGUGAUGUCGAUCCCGAAGCUGAAGACAGAGAUGAGUUUCACAUGGAAGAACUGCUAAAGGAGUGGACCGACGAACCACCAAUUCGCCACGAUGUGUACCCGGAGAGUGAUGAUGAGGAAAACGCCGACGGUUCUGGAAGAUUUGACACACAUAUCAGGUGUGGUGAUGGGUUUUUGUACCACAAGCAGAGUUUUUUCAGUGGGGUUGCGUUCAAAGAGGCGGUAGUUGAUUACGCUCUCAGAACCGGCUGCAAUAUAAAGCAGUACAAGUAUGAUUCCGAUAAAAUUGGGUUCAUAUGUGUUGGUUGUGAUGGGAAAAAAGGUGGAGCUAAGUGUGAGUGGAAAGUUUAUGCGGCCAUUCUCAAGAGUGAUAAUAUGUGGAAGAUUAGGAAGUUUGUUGACACACAUAGUUGUAUCCCUAAUGGAGAAUGUGAGAUGUUUAAGGUGCCACAUAUAGCUAGGUUAUUUGUUGAUAAGAUUAGGGAUAGUCCUGAAUUUUACAUGCCCGCAAAGAUUGAAGAAAUAAUUAUGGAACAAUGGAAGAUUAGUGUCACUAGGAAUCAAUGUCAAUCUGCGAGAAAGAAGGCUUUGCAAUGGAUUGAGAAAGAGUAUGAUGAUCAAUUUGCAAGAUUAAGGGAUUAUGCGGCUGAGAUAGUUGAAUCAAACAAGGAUUCACGGGUUGAAGUUGAAUGUCUCACGAGUGCUGAAGGUAAAGACAUGUUCCCCGCACCAGCAUCUUGUUGGCACUCCGACCACUCUUCCUCUUCCACGUGGUCCCGCAUUGGGAUCAAUCCUAGUUGUAAAAAAAAUCUCAAAAGUCUCAAAUUCCCCAGCGUUGAUAUAACAUAGCGAGCUGCUCUUCCCUAACACAAGAUAGAGACACAAAAUUUUCUGCAUUGUAAGAGUUAAAUGGCAGUGGCAGAGGCGGUCCAAAUCUCUCUUUUGUAAAAUCAAAACAAACUAGAACAUCUUCAAUAUUUACUCCUCCCACGGUUCUUUUCUUAUGCACAGGAAAAUAAGUAUUCCCCUUCAAAGACACGCCACGUUGAUGAGAGUGUAUAUUCCACUCUGGUUUGACAUCAAGAACCUUCCAUGAAUUAGAGCUAAAAUCAUAGACUUGGUACCUAAAAUCGUGGUUUCUGCUUGGAUACAGAUUGAAAAUCCUCAAGAUUUUGUGAUUACGGUUGUUUUUUUUUUUUUUUUUGACAGCGUGAUUACGGUUGUUAUCAUAUCCAAAAGCAUACAUAUCUAGUCUGCCCCAAAUAAGGGUUUUAUACCAAGAGCCUUGUGUUACCCAUAAUGAUGCUAGAAAAAACUUUUGUCGGGAUCAAAAUAUAAAAAUUUUAAAAAUAAAUAUUUUCGCGUAAAUUUUUCUAUGACCAAUUUAUUGGUUAGUAAUAAAGAUCAUAUAUUUAUCCAAUGAAUAAAAUUUAAGAAAACAAACCUUGUAACUUAUAUUUUUAUAUAACUUUCAUUUUUAAUAGUUUUAUAACCAGAGUUUAUCAUAUGUCUAAAAUUUAUCAAUAUAUUUGUGGAUAUAAAGUAGAUAUUUCAAUACACAAAAGGGAUUUAAGAAAUGAAAAAUAAAAGACUGAAUAAGCAAAUAGAUUAAAAAUGAAAUUAUCGAAAAGAAAAGAAAUAAAAUUGAAUGCAAAAUCAUUAUAAAAAAGGAAAACAUAUAUAAAACAACUAACGAAAAAAAUACCCGAGAGAGUUUUAAACAAUUUUACAAUGGGGUCAAUCCACAAAAAAUAACCAAAUGAUCAACAUAUAUGUAUUAGUUAUAUGCCUAACUUAAAUAAAAUUUAAAAAGUUAUUAGGGUCAGCUGACCCCACUGCUCUCUUACAGCCUCCGCGGCUCCGCCCCUGUAUUUGAACAUGGUACCAAAUGGGCAAGUUGUAAAAAAGAAGACAAGUUGGGUUUUGUGCAUAUUAUUGUAAGUUGCAUGGAAAAGCGUGAGAGUGCAGAGUGGCCCCACCGUAGACCUUUACUUUCUCCUCAAGUCCAUUUAGCUUACCACUCUGCACCCACAGUUUGCCCACCAUUUCUCACUGCCACAGCCAUUUUUAGUCUCUCUCGCUCUCUCUUCUUAGUUUGAGAAGACGGAAGUGGACUUCAUUUUCUUCUUUUUUUGCUAAAAAAGUAGACUUCAUUUUCUUGUACGGGAACUAAAAUAUUGCAGAUUGACAUAUACAAACAUGAAUCAUCAGAGGAGUAAAUUUGCUAGGUAGCUUCUUCUUCUUCUUCUUUUUUUUUUUUUUAAUUAUUGGUUGUAGUGCUCAUAUCUUGUUGAUGCAGGCUUGAUCAUACUAGGAAUUUGGGGAGUUCUGUGGAUGGAAAAAUCAAAAGUGUUAGAGGAGGCUUGAAGAAGUUUUAUCAGAAGAUGAAAACACUGAAAAACUGGAGGAAGACUGUCUUGUUAGCUUGCGUGGUUGAUUUGGCUAUUGAUCCUUUGUUUCUCUUUAUCCCUUUGAUUGAUUCUAAUAAAUAUUGCUUCACUUUCGACAAGAAACUUGUAGCAGUAGUUUGUGUCAUUCGUACUUUUAGUGACACAUUCUAUGUGAUUCACAUCAUAUUUCAUCUUAUAACCGAGAUCAUGGCUCCUCGUCCUGAAGCAUCUUUUAGAGGCGAGAUUUCCGUGCAUUCUAAGGCUACACGGAAAACACGUCACCUCUUUCAAUUCAUUGUUAACAUUUUCUCUGUUCUCCCCAUUCCUCAGGUAUUGUUCUCUUCGUUUUGUGACAUGUACUUUUCCAUGGUUUUAUUAGAGCUAGAUACAUAUGUGGGGAUGCAAAACUGUAGGUGGUGGUUCUAACUCUCAUUCCACGGUCUGCGUCGCUAGUGUCAGAGAAAAUACUGAAAUGGAUUAUACUUUGUCAAUUGUUACCAAGAAUCAUUCGUAUGUAUCCGCUUUACAAAGAAGUGACAAGAGCCUUUGGUACGGUGGCAGAAUCAAAGUGGAUUGGAGCUGCUUUAAACCUUUUCCUUUACAUGCUGCACAGUUAUGUAAGUAUGUGCUCUUCUUUCUUUGUUUUGUUAUACGACGCACGCGACUAUAGGAUUUGUUACAAUGGCUACUAGGUGUUUGGGGCUUUUUGGUACGUGAGUGCAGUAGAAAAGAAAAGCAAAUGUUGGCGUGACGCGUGCGCUAGGACAUCCGACUGCGAUCUCACGAAUCUGCUUUGUGGACGAGGUGGCAGAGACAACAGUCGUUUCCUCAACACUUCAUGCCCCUUAAUCGACCCUGCCCAAAUCACAAACUUCACAGACUUCAACUUUGGGAUGUUCAUUGAUGCAUUGAAGUCAGGUGUGGUAGAGGUGAAACCAAGGGAUUUUCCGAGGAAAUUCCUCUAUUGCUUUUGGUGGGGUCUCCGUAAUAUUAGGUAAUAGACAUAUCCAUCCAUUGAGGACGUUUUAAAACUCAUAGAUUAACCCACUCUAUUAACAAUUACAGUGCUUUGGGCCAAAACCUGGAGACAAGCAACUCUGCAGGGGAGAUUUGUUUUGCUAUCAUCAUAUGUGUCUCUGGUUUACUCUUGUUUGCUGUGCUCAUUGGAAACGUUCAGGUAAUGUUCAUACCUUAUAAACUAGAGUUUGAUCUCAUAAAGCUGUUUUUUUUGUUGAUCACAGAAGUACUUGCAAUCAUCAACCACUAGAGUAGAUGAAAUGGAGGAGAAAAAGAGAGACACUGAAAAAUGGAUGUCCUAUCGGGUGAUACCACAGUAUUUGAAGGAACGCAUUAGGAGAUUCGAAGAUUACAAAUGGCGAGAAACCAAAGGCACCGAAGAGGAAGCUCUUCUUCGUAGUCUUCCAAAAGACCUCAGACUCGAAACCAAACGCUAUCUUUACUUGGAUAUGUUAAAGCGUGUAAGCUCCCUUUUCGUGAUUAAUGAUCCCUGUAUCUCUGUUCACCCAGAAAUAAUAGCUUUUUCACCCCUCAGGUUCCAUGGCUUGACUUCAUGGAUGAUGGUUGGCUACUAGAAGCUGUGUGCGACCGAGUGAAGUCUGUGUUCUACUCAGCGAACAGCUACAUUGUGAGAGAGGGGCACCCAGUUGAGGAAAUGCUGAUUGUAACCAGAGGCAAUCUGAAAAGUACAACCGGAUCUCAUGAAAUAGGUGGCCGCUACAAUUGUUGUUACCUCCAAGCUGGUGACAUAUAUGGAGAACUUCUCUUCAAUGGUUCUCGCCUUCCCACCUCAACCAGAACCAUAAUGACUCUGACUGAAGUUGAAGGCUUCAUUCUCUUGCCUGAUGAUGUCAAUUUUAUAGCGUCUCAUUUAAAUGCCUUUCAACGACAGAAACUCAAACAAACAUUCAGGCAAGUUUCGAACCAAAGUAGCCGUAGGAGUUUUUUUACUACCUUAAACAAACUACAAGACUCAAAUUCCCCCUUUUUGGCCAUCCAUUUUUCAGGUUCUAUUCAGAGAAAUGGCGCUCAUGGGCGGCAUUCUUCAUUCAAAGGGCAUGGAGGGAACAUUGCAAAAGGAAGCUUUCUAAGAUCUUACGUGCCAAAAGAGACAACGAGAACAUUCCACAAGGCAAGCAACUCAAUCUUGAAUCAACGCUCUACGUGUCGAGAUUUGUGUCCAAAGCUUUGCAAAAUCGACGGAAAGAUACAGCAGAUUGUUCCACUUCUCUUGAUAUGUCACCUCCGGUACCUCAUAAACCAGCCGAUCUCGAGUUUGCAAGGGAUGAAGCAUAGUGUAUCUUUGAAGGAAAAUGACUUUGUACACAAACAAGGAAGUGAAGACUAUGCUUAAUUCACGCAAUCAUUUAUUAGGAAUUGUAGGGCAUGUUUUGAGUACAUGGAGAUAACUUGGUCGAUUGCUGUUUCUAGGUCAAGUCUGCCUUAAGAGAUGGUUCAAAAUAGCUACAAUAAGUUGUAUGUACAAAACAGAGUAUUCAAGUCAAAUUUGAUUCAAAGACAAAAACAGAGAGACUAAGAAAGCAAAAGAAGAUUCACUUCCUGUCUUUCUUCUUCACCACGUCAAUAAAUUCUCUCAUCAGACUUAUCAAUCUCGCCAUGAUUCUUUGCUGCUCCGAGACCAUUUUUACGUGAAUAUCUGGCCACCAAAAUGAUGCUUCUCAACUUUACUAUCUGAUUGGACUUCAACAUUAUUUGAGUGGAAAAAAAUGUUACGUGUUUUAGAUUGAACGAGAGAGAGACAUAGAAAGAGAUAAAGAGGAUAGUGGCCAAGGAAGAUGUAUACUGUGAAUUAUGAGAGAUUCUCCACAGAGAGGGAGAUGAACUUACUCAGGUAUAAUGUGGAGACAUAGAUUCUAGAUGUGAUCAUGUAAAAGUACACUCCCUGCAACAACACAAAACGGAGACAUAUAUCACUAAAAGAUUCAAGACAAAGUUAAUGUUCAAAGUUAAAGAUCAAAUGUAGAAUUAUUUAAAAGUUCAAAAGCAACAAGAUUUAGGAACAAAAAGGAUUAAACUUGUAAAAGAAAGCAUAAGAAACUAACUUGUAGUUCCAGAGCUUGUUUCUGAACCCGCAUAGAAACUGGUGACAUCAGUACACUAACCAGAAAAGCCGUAAGAACAAUCAACAUCCACCUAUAAAUACAAGAUUAGAAACCAAUCACUGAACUAAAACCUUAAGAAAUCAUCAAGCAAUAACAAACAUAAAGUCCCAACCAAUAUAAUCAAUGUUACCAAUUGAAGCCUGUGAGUUCAUGGAUUCCAUUAAUCACAUACUGCACGAAGUCCCCGGGGAAAGAAAAAUUCUCAAUUGCUGCAGUACACUCAUCUAUUGCUUCCACAGAUUUCUCAGAGACGAGAUCCUCAACAACAUUUCCAAAAGCAUCAAUCUUUGAACACAAUUCUUCUGGUUUAGACGACAGCAAUACUCCAGAAAAACCCGUUGGUUGAACAAAAGACAUUUUCCUUCUAUCUUCAAAGAAAACUUGCCUGUGAAAGCUACGAAUCAGAAGCCUUGAAUCUGGGAAAGACUUGAGAUACAUCGAUUCGAUCGAGUUUACUUACUUGCUUUAUAGAUGGAUCAACGUAGUCUCCAUUGUUUCGUAUUCCUUGGAGAUCGAAUUCCAAUGAACAAACCCUAAAAUCCAUCAUUAUAAACCCUAUAAACUGCUUGCUUGCUGCAGUUGCUUUUUGCCAAAAAUCUGAUUUUGGGAUAAAGUGUUCCACUUUUUGCAAGUAGAACGUAUUGCUCUCAGAGAUGUCAUCGGAACCCUCUCAGAGAGUAUCUUCUCUACCAUUGUCGUCAUUCUUUCAAACUUCAGAAAUUAGGUUUUGGACGCUCUCAAGAAAAAAGCUUUUUUAUUCCAUUCCAUCUAUUAUGAGAGACUCUACUUAAUCCAGAAGUUUCCAUUUUAAUCUUUAGAGCCCAAACCCUCUGUUUUCCAGACACAAACUUCCCUAUUCUCCACUUCUAUUCGAAUAUGGAUUUGUUUUCUCUCUUUCCUAGCAAUCCAUUGGACUUGAGAGCUUUCACUAGAAACUCUAUAAUCUUCAGAUAAAGCAAGAUACCGAGGAAAGCGUUUAACCAUCAUCACAAACUCAUAAAUCCUAAGCCAAGAAAUGUUUCAAUGGACUUCAAUAUCUUCUUCUCCGAUAGUUUCAGAGAGUUUGGUAACUUCUUGAACAUUCCCUUCACCAAAGCCUAAACUUUUACAGACAUUGACUUUUUCUUCUAUCUUUUUGUCACUCCAUCCAUAGAAAAAUUUGCAGAGCAACCCAUGUGAACAACCUUCUUAAGGGAUUCUUCAAAACCGUAAGGAUGUAUAUCAACAACAAACAUUACACCAACUCUGUGUACCUCUAAUAUUGUUGAACCUGAAACGGAUUUGAGGCAUAUUACCUUGUGAGUCAAACAGAGAAACUCCAAUGGUCGUUAGCCAUCACAAAACACGAACAAGUUUUUAAAGAGUCUGAAGCUUCGUCGGUUGGAUGAUAUAAGAUAGCUUUCAAGUGCCUCCAUGAUAUUAAAGGCAACGUAGUGAGACACCAUAAGCUCACAAGAACGUGCAUGAAACGCGAUUAGUGAAAAGAGAUUCAAAAUAACAUUUUACAGUUAAGUCGGACACCAUAUAAACAGAAACGGUUUAGAUCCUGAUCAUAUGAGAUUACAAAAAGUCUAAAAUUUAAGUAUUCAUAAAUAAAAGCAACAUUCUUCACAAGCCUUCUGAUCUAUGAAGCCUAAUAUUUGGUGAAGAUAGCCAUGCCAUUAAUUUAAGCACAAGGAGCUUAUCAUCAUCCUUCACCACAUACCUGUUUAAGAACGCCUGAUCAGUACAUGCCAAGACAGAAGCCACUGAAGGGAGUUCACUUCCAAGCGAUCCUUUGGACAUGAGAGCUUUGAUUACAUUACACCUUGGAACAAUCCUCUUCUGCAAGCUGUAUCCAAGUCCCGCAGGGUUCGAAACCACAGACUUUAGUGGCCAAUUCAUCUUUUUCACCAAAAACUCAGUCUUCUUUUUCACCGUCUCUGCAGACAAUCCAAAGCACAUAGGAAAGCCCUUGAUUAUCAUCACGCAUUCAUCUCUACUGAAUCCUACACCUAAAAAUGUUUCAAUUAAACUCAAUAUCUUCUGCUCUGAAAUACGUAUGAAUUGCGGAUACUUCUUCAGCACUUGAAGGACUUCGUUUUCGUCCAGACCACACAUCUUCAAGGUUUCAAUCGUCUGAGUUAUCUUUUCCUCUGAGAAUUUCAAAGAGCAAGGCCACUUCUUGAAGAUUACCCAUACAUCUUCCACAGAAAAGCCUAACCUUUUGUAGACAUCGAGUUUUUCUUCAAUUGUUUUGUCACUCAUUUGGUAAAAGCCAUGGAGAGCUUUGACAAACUUCGAAGUGGUUGGAUCAAAACCCAUCUCAACAACCUUCUUGAGGGAUUCUUCAAAUUUUUCUUUUCCACAUACAGGUCCGCUAUCAGAGAUGAGCAAGGAGAAUAACAACCUCUGAGGCACACCCAAUUCUCUCAGAACCAAAACAUUUCGGAUUUUAUUAUCCUGCCUACUACCCUCUGGCAAAGCAUGACAUAACUUUUCAUACUUGGAGGAACUCUUAUCUGCUUCUAUAAUGACUUUGAUGAAAUCAUAGUAUCUGCUAAGAGAUUUGCCCUCUCUCUUCCCCAAGAUUUUAGGAACUUUAGAAACAACCUGAGUGAGCUCAGAGCUUGAAGCUCCUCUUGACUGCAAAAACUGAAGCUUGGGACCAAGUGACUUGUCAGCAUCUGCUAUAAGCAAUAGUGGAUACAUCUUAAUGAUGUUGGACAUCUGAGAAUCUGUGAACCCAUGACUCCUUAGAAGACUCAAAACCGAAUCAGGAUUACGCUUGUCCUCAAAAAAAAAAAAAAAAAAAAAAAAAAAAAAAAAAAAAAAAAAAAAAAAGAGCCCGUGAAGAUCCUUGUAAUUGUGAAGAUUGUGAAGUUGCCGUGAUUGCAAUCAAGGGUUUCAACUAGAGUGUCUCCGCCAUGAAAACAGAGCGGCAAAACGUCUCGGAGGAUGUUGUUGUCGUCACCGAACGCAAUAAGCGAGCGAAGACCUCAAACAAUGGUGGAGAACCGAUCCCAUUUGAUUUAACUGUCGAGAUUUGUUCGAGACUGCCAGCGAAAUCUAUAUCAAGAUUUCGCUGCGUAUUGAAGCUAUGGGGUUCCAUUCUUCGCCUCCCCUACUUCACGGAGUUGUUCUUGACCAGAUCAUUGGCUCGCCCACAACUAUUGUUUGCCUGCCAUAAAGACAAUCAUGUGUUUGUCUUCUCCUCACCGCAGCCUCAAAAUAUUGAUGAUAACAACGCCUCCUCUCUUUUAGCCGCCAAUUAUCAUAUGAAAAUUCCGUUUUAUGCCUCUUCCUUUGAAAGAUGUAGUUCUGUCAGAGGCUUGGUCUUUUUUGGAGAUGAGCGGUAUUCAAAUGGAAAGGAGCAUAAGGUCUCGGUGAUAUGUAACCCGAGCACCCGACAAUCUUUGACCUUACCGAAACUGAAGACAAGGAAGAGGAUUGGAGUGAGGAGCUAUUUCGGGUUUGAGCCCAUUGAGAAACAAUACAAGGUAUUGUCCAUGACCUGGGGGAUAUAUGGAACACGAGACAUGGACUCUGAGGAGCAUCAAGUUUUGACAUUAGGAACUCGAAAACCGUCAUGGAGAAUGAUCGAAUGUUGGAUACCCCAUUCUCUUUAUCAUACAUACAACAAUGUAUGCAUCAAUGGUGUUCUGUAUUAUCCAGCGGUCAAUACUUCUUCAAAGGGUUUCAUAAUCGUUUCCUUUGACUUUAGGUCGGAGGAGUUCAGAUUUGUUGAAGACACAGACACUUCCAUUUCAUCAUAUUAUGGUCCACAUCUGAUAAACUAUAAUGGUAAAUUAGGUUCACUUGGGUCUGGAGGAUUUGGCGGUAUCGGUGCAAGCUGUACAAGUAUUACGUUGCGGGUUCUAGAAGAUGCCGAAAAGCAUGAAUGGUCGGAGCAUAUAUAUGUAUUACCCGCUUGGUGGAAGAAUAUUUUUGGAGGGGAAUGUACAGUUUUAAGCGUUGUUGGAGUGACUCGGACAAAUGAAAUUGUGUUGUCAUUGCGCUUUCCAUCCACGCCUUUCUACGUUUUCUACUACAAUACAGAGAGAAACGCAAUCAGAAGAGUCGAAAUCCAAGGACAGGAAGCGUUUAAGGAUCAUUCUGUUUACACCUUUCUAGACCAUGUAGAGAAUGUGAAUAUGAAGCUUCUGGAAGGGUUUUAAUCAUGACUUUUAUAACUUUGAGAUUUUUGUAACAGAGCUAGUUUGGCCGUUACUCUUUACUUUCAUCAAUUUUUCAGUUUUCUGUUAUGGAUAAAUCAUCUGCUAAUAUGCCAUUGGCUUUCUUUGGAGGCUUAAAGCUAUUCAUAUUACCACAUUCCAAAAAAACUCUUUAUUCAACAAAUAUAACCAAUGAAACAUGACGUACAUAGUAACUUAAACUCAUAAAAGAGAUUCAAUAUUACAAUUUGUUAUUGUCACAAUCUGAUUUGCAUAUAAGACGAAAACAGCGUGGAUCCUCCAGAUCAGAUUGAGAUUACAAAAGUCUAAAUGGGUUUCAGACACUAGUCAGCCAUCAAAUUAAAAGUUUCACCAAUGUUCUGGUAAUACGUAUGAAUUGCGGAUACUUCUUCAGCACUUAAAGGAUUUCGUUUUGGUUCAGACCACACAUGUUCAAGGUUUCAAACGUCUAAGUAAUCCUUUCCUCUUGAGAAUUCCACAGUAAAGCCUAAUUAACCUUUUGUAGACAUUGACUUUUUCUUCUAUUGUUUUGUCGCUCAUUUGGUAAAAGGCGUUGAGAGCUUUGACAAACUUUGAAGUGGUCGGAUCAAAACCCAUCUCAACUUGUUGAGAGAUAUUUUCUUUUCCAUUGACCGGUCCACUAUGUGAGAUGAGCAAGGGGAAUACCAACUUCUGAUGCCUAGAAUGCAUGUAAAUUACGAGUGUAAUAAUCGUGAAUAUAUAAAGGAAGUCAACAGAUUCGACUACUAUUCGGUGGAUCGGAUUAUUUUCAAAUAAAAGUAUAAUUAUUGAAAUCAAACGGGGAGAAAUAAUCAAAUAUUACUCGCACAAGUUAGUGAUUUUAAAGUAUGUCACGUCUUUGGUCUCGCUCGAUAGAAAAUACUAAAGUUUUGUUUUUAUUUCUUGAUCGCAAAGAAAGUCUCUAUCUUCUCUUGUUCUUUGCAUCCUCUCUGGUUUGCUCAGAUCAGUAAAUUUCAAAUUUCAGAUAUAUCUGCCUUUCAGUAGAAUGGGCGCCUCUAUCUCAAUACCCUGUGAUACGUGUAUAAAUAAAGUCUUUUACUGGCAAGAAAAGAAAGUAGGCUAUACUCGCAAUCUCCAGAAGAAUCUCGUGGCUCUAGAGACAACCAUGGAAGAGCUCAAGGCUAAGCGAGAUGAUUUGACAAGAAGGUGUUGGUUUAAGCUUGAAAGAGGCUUAAACCGGAGGUUACUUAAACCGUAAGAUGUCGGUUUAUUGAAGAGAUAAAGACUAAUUCUUUAGGAGUUAUCUAGAGAAUAUCAUGUAAUCCUAAUUGAGUUAUGAUUAGGUUUAGAGGUUGUGGCUAUAUAAGCAUAUAUCAAGUUGUGAUAUAGCUUAAGAGAUUAAGAGAGUUUUAUGCGGUUUUAGAGUUUGAGAAGUAAUUGAGAGAGACUUAGGUUUUGAGAGAUUUUCCUAAGUAAUAAAAGAGAGUUAUUCUUUUGUUGUUGUGUUCUUGAUUACUUUUACAAACUAGAAUUGGUAUCAGAGCUUUAAGGUUUUGAUCUUGGAGUUUUGAAGAAGGAGACGUGAAGAUCCUACGUACGUACAGCCGUCGAGACCGAGCCAUGGCCGACGACAGACCACCACGCUCGAAGGAGAUCUCACUACCGUCUAUCCAAUGUCCGAUGCUCAACGAUUCUCACUACACGGUCUGGGCUAAGCGGAUGAGAAUCAUGUUGAAGAUAUAUCAUGUAUACGAUGCAAUCGAACCGGGAUCGGAAGAUAUUGACAAGAACAACAUCGCGACAGGAUUGUUGUUUCAAGUCAUGCCGGAGAGUCUUAUAUUGCAAGUUGGUGAUCAUGAGACUCCUAAAGCAGUAUGGGAUGCGAUCAAAUCACGUCAUCAAGGUGCUGAUCGAGUCAAGGAAGCAAGACUUCAAACCUUGAUGUCGGAAUUUGAAAGAAUUAGGAUGAAGGAUACGGAUACUAUUGAUAGCUUCUCGGGGAAGUUAUCGGAGUUAGCAUCAAAAUCUUCCUCACUUGGUGUAAAGAUUGAGGAAACCAAACUCGUGAAGAAAUUCCUUAAUAGCUUACCAAGAGGAAGGUUUAUUCAAAUCAUAGCCAAAGAAAGAACAACAAACCAAAACAACCAAGGUCAAGCAAAAGAGAAGAAAGAUAUCUCAAAGGUGGUUUGUUACCGCUGUGACAAGCCGGGUCACUACGCCUCCUCGUGUCCAGAAAGAGUUCAAAGAACACACGAAGCAAACAAGACAGAGACGAAAGAAGCCGAUGCUGCUCUUUACAUGCAUGAAGUGAUCUUUUUGAAUGAAGAAAAGGUGAUUCCAAGGAAUUACGAGAUCAAAGAUGGGGAAGACAAAGUGUGGUAUCUCGACAACGGAGCAAGUAACCACAUGACCGGAAACAAGACUUUCUUUUCUGAGCUCAAUGAGAAGAUUAAGGGAAAAGUGAAGUUUGGAGACGGAUCAUGUAUCGACAUCGGAGGAAAAGGAUCAAUACUUUUUCAAAGCAAAACCGAAGAACAAAGACUUGUUACGGAUAUCUACUAUAUCCCCGAUUUAAAAAGCAACAUUCUUAGUCUCGGGCAAGCAACCGAAGCCGGCUGUGACGUGAGGAUGAAGCAAGACUACCUAACACUCCAUGAUUCAAGCGGAAGACUUCUAGUGAAGGUUACGAGAUCGCCAAAUAGACUAUACAAGGUAAGUCUACGAAUUGGAAAGCCUAUGUGUUUAAACACAACACUAGAAGACGAGACAUGGAGAUGGCAUGCACGUUUGGGACAUGUAAGCUUCAAGACGAUGAGAAAUAUGUCUCAACAAGAGAUGGUUCAAGGAUUACCAAAGAUCAAAGAAGAAACCAGAAUUUGCGAGUCAUGCCUAGUAGGAAAACAAGUCCGUGGCUCUUUCCCAAAUGCAGCAACAUUCCGAGCCACUAAACCAUUGGAGCUACUACACGCCGAUCUUUGCGGUCCCAUAUCACCAUCAACAAUUGCUAACAACAAGUAUGUAUUUGUUAUUAUUGAUGAUUUUUCUAGGUAUAUGUGGACAAUUUUAAUGAAAGAGAAAGGAGAAGCUUUCAAAAAAUUCAAGGCGUUUAAGCAAUUGGUGGAGAAGGAAUUUGAAAAAGAAAUCAUAACUCUAAGGACUGAUCGAGGAGGAGAAUUCACGUCAAAAGAGUUCAAUGAUUUUUGCGAAGAAAACGGGAUAAAGAGACACCUCACGGCACCAUAUACACCGCAACAAAAUGGUCUGGUUGAGAGAAGGAAUAGGACAUUAAUGGAGAUGACUAGGAGCAUUCUCAAGGCUAUGAAGGUACCAAAUUAUCUAUGGGGAGAGGCAGUCCGUCACUCAACAUAUGUUAUUAAUAGGAUACCAACGAGAGCCCUUGAAAAUAUGACUCCCUACGAAAGCUUGCGAGAGAAGAAACCAAGCCUAGAUCACUUAAGGGUUUUCGGGUGCUUAGCUUACACGAAGAUUGAAGCUACUCGCCUAAAGAAGCUAGAUGACAGAUCGCAAACUCUAGUACACCUUGGAAUUGAGCCGGGAACCAAGGCUUAUAGACUUUACAAUCCAACGACAAGGAAAGUGGUUGUAAGUCGAGACGUGGUGUUUGAUGAAAAGAAAGGUUGGUGCUGGGAAAAACAAGUAAACGGAUCAAGGGAAGAUUCGGGCAUGUUUCACAUGAGAUGGGGUGAAGUCAUAGAUGUUGGAGAAGGACCCGUAAUUGUCAAUAACGAUCUAAAUAAAGAUCUAGAUGAAACCGGAAGUAACGGUAGUAACUUUGGUGACCAUGAUCAAGAACAAGAAGAUGACAACAAUACUGAGGAGACUAACACCAACACUAACAACAACUUGCCGCAUCAACAAGUACAACAUCAACAACCACAAGAGCAACAAUUAAGACGAUCGGGUCGUCAAACUCUUCUACCUAGGCACCUUGAAGAUUAUGUACUCCAAGCUAAGAUAGAAGUAGAGAGACUAGAGAGACUUCUACUUUCAAUAAAUGAUGAGCCGAGAAGCUACAAAGAAGCAAAGGGCUUAUUAGAGUGGAGAAAAGCAAGCAAGGAAGAGAUUGAUUCUAUCAACAAAAACAAGACAUGGUUUUUGGUUGAAAAGCCGAGAGAAGCAAAAGUGAUUGGUCUCAAGUGGAUUUUUAAGAUCAAGAAAAAUGCGGAUGAUGCUAUCAAUAAAUCCAAGGCCAGAUGUAAGAUGGGUGAGACGAAGCGAGAGACUGACAAGUCCGAUGAGGAGAGGAAGGUUCUUGAAGCCAUAGCUUUGAAAGGUUCGGAGUUAGAGACUAAAGUUGCACGGUUGCAGCAUGAACUGAUCAAGGCUACGACGGAGGCAAAGAAGCUUCUCUAUGACAAUGGCGGAAUUGAGGAAGUGGAGAAAGAGGUCGCUGGUUUAAGGACUGUUAAGGAAGAGAAUGAGAAGAGAAUGAAGGAAUUGGAGACAAAGCUUGGUGCUUUGGAGGUGAAGGAGUUAGAGGAGAAGAACGAAAGGUUCCAAGCAGAGGAAGUAGAUGAGGAGAAAGAAAAGGAGGAGAAGAAAAGAAAGAAGAUUAAUGGUUUGGUUCCUGAUAAUGGUGUUGUUGUGAAACAUAUCAAGACAGGUGAAGAAAUCGUUGUUUCGAGGAGAGUUGUUGGUGUUUUCCUGCUAAUGACAAUGGCGGAGUUUAGUGGUCAGUUUUGCGGGCUCCAAGAUGAGUUUUUCAACUAUGGCUGGAGACUUGAGUUUAGAGGGAACAACGUGACUGCGUUGUGGCCUGGGAAUGGGAAACCUGGACUGUGGUUGAAUUCGAAUUCAAGGAUGGGAGCGAUUUAUAGUUUGAUUGUGAGAGAAGAGGAGAUUUUGAUAGAGAAUGAAGAGAAGGGACAACAAGGUGAAGCCAAUGGUGGAGCAUUUAUUAGAGAGUCCAUCUAUGGUGUUGGGAUUUAUUUAACUGUUGCAAACUGCUCUUACUUCAGUGCUAGAUAUUGUGAUGGUGACAAAAACGGAGUUCGUUACAUGGUUUUAUGUCAUGUAAUAAUGGGGAAUAUGGAGCUUCUUCGUGGUGAUAAAGCUCAAUUCUUUUAUGGUGGAGAAGAAUAUGACAAUGGAGUAGUCGAUGAUAUCGAGAGUCCAAAGAAUUACAUUGUCUGGAACAUCAAUAUGAACACUCAUAUAUUCCCCGAAUUUGUUUUUAGGUUCAAGCUGUCUAAUCUCUCCAAUACUGGAGGUAAUUUGAUUGCUAAGCGUGAAGUUGCUGCGUUGCUUAGAAACAAUGAUGGUGAUAAGAAGAUUUCAAGCUUAAGGGGGAGAUUGUUGGUUUAAGCUUGAAAGAGGCUUAAACCGGAGGUUACUUAAACCGUAAGAUGUCGGUUUAUUGAAGAGAUAAAGACUAAUUCUUUAGGAGUUAUCUAGAGAAUAUCAUGUAAUCCUAAUUGAGUUAUGAUUAGGUUUAGAGGUUGUGGCUAUAUAAGCAUAUAUCGAGUUGUGAUAUAGCUUAAGAGAUUAAGAGAGUUUUAUGCGGUUUUAGAGUUUGAGAAGUAAUUGAGAGAGACUUAGAUUUUGAGAGAUUUUCCUAAGUAAUAAAAGAGAGUUAUUCUUUUGUUGUUGUGUUCUUGAUUACUUUUACAAACUAGAGAAGGAUCAGAAGAGAGGAAGAUAGAGGUCUGGAAAGGCUUGCCGAAAUACAGGUAUGGCUUAAUAAAGUUGAAACUGUCGAACAAAACGUCAACGAACUUCUUAGUGAUAGAGAUGUUCAACUUCAAAGGCUAUGUCUUUGUGGGUUUUGCUCUAAGAAAUUGAAAUCGGGCUAUCAUUAUGGGAAAAAGGUUUUCUUGAUGUUAAGGGAGGUUGAGGAACUGAUCAAAACUAGAGAUUUUGAUGUGAUUGCUGAUCAAGCUCAAGCAUCCAAGGUGCAAAAAGGCCUCCUCCACGGAUAAUUGUUGGUCAAGAGACAAUGCUAGAUAACGCAUGGAAACAUCUGAUUGAAGAUGGAGCUGGUAUUAUGGGUAUGUACGGUAUGGGCGGAGUAGGGAAGACAACUAUUCUCACCCAGAUCAAUAAUAAGUUCAGUAAUGAUAGGUGUGGAUUUGACUUUGUGAUUUGGGUUGUGGUGUCUAAAGAGCUGCAUAUAGAGAAUAUUCAAGAUGAAAUUGCUGAGAAAGUUGGUCUUGGUGGAGAAGAGUGGAACAAAAAAGAUGAAACUCAAAAGGGCCUUCAUUUAUACAAUUUCUUAAGGACAAAGAGAUUCAUGUUGUUUUUAGAUGAUAUAUGGGAGACGGUGGAAUUAGAUAAGAUUGGAAUCCCGGAUCCAACAUCACACAAAGGAUGCAGAUUGGCAUUCACCACUCGGUCUCUAAAUGUAUGCACGAGCAUGGGGGUUGGAAAACCAAUGGAAGUCCAAUGUUUGGCGGACGAUGACGCAUUUGAUUUGUUCAAAAAAAAGGUUGGAGAAUUAACACUCGAAAGCGAUCCACAGAUCCCAGACCUUGCAAAAAUAGUUGCUAAAAAAUGUUGUGGUUUACCAUUGGCUCUCAACGUAAUAGGUGAAACCAUGUCAUCCAAGAGGACGAUACAAGAAUGGCGACGUGCGAUAUCAGUUUUGACUUCAUAUGCCGCAGAGUUUUCAGGCAUGAAUGAUAAGAUCCUUCCGCUUUUGAAGUAUAGCUACGAUAGUCUUAAAGGGGACCAUGUCAAAUUUUGUUUGCUAUACUGCGCUUUAUAUCCGGAAGAUGCUAAAAUUCCCAUAGAAGAUUUGAUAGACUACUGGAUAUGCGAAGGAAUUAUAGAUAGAGGUGAAAGUGUUGUAGAGGCUGAGUAUAUGAGUUAUGAGAUAAUUGGUAGUCUUGUGUGUGCAUCAUUGUUGAUGAAGGGGGUUGAUCAGGAUGGAAAAGAUUUUGUGUGUAUGCAUGACGUGAUUCGUGAAAUGGCCUUGUGGAUCGCAUCUGAUUUGGGAAGAGAAAAGGAUGUUUUUAUUGUGCGUGCAGGUGUUGGGCUACGUGAAAUUCCAAGGGUUAGGGAUUGGAACAUUGUAGAAAGGAUGUCAUUGAUGAAACUGAGGAAUAACAAGAGGUUUCAUGUUACUGGCACUCCUGAAUGUAUGAAACUCACAACUUUGCUCCUGCAACAUUCGAAUUUGGGAAGUAUCUCGAGUGAAUUCUUCAAGUACAUGCCAAAUCUUGCUGUGUUGGAUCUAUCGAAUAAUGACAGUCUUUGUGAAUUGCCGGAUCUAUCAGGAUUAGUUUCCCUGCAAUAUCUCAACUUGUCAAAUACUAGCAUACUCCAAUUGCCUAAGGGUGUACAAAAGUUGAAGAAACUAAUUUACUUGGAUUUGGAGAAAACAUUUGUUAUUUGGGGUAGUACUGGGAUAUCAAGUCUGCAUAAUUUGAAAGUUUUGAAGUUAUUUGGUUCUCAUUUUUAUUGGAACACCACAUCAGUGAAGGAAUUGGAAGCCUUGGAACAUUUGGAAGUUUUAACCAUAACAAUUGAUUUUUUUUCUCUGUUUAAUGAACUCAGACUGCGGGAGUUGGAAUCCUUGGAACACUCAGUAAGUUUAACCUAUACAACUCCUUCAGACUAUCCAGAACAAUUUUUAACCUCACAUAGGUUGAUGAGUUGUACACAAAUUCUAAGAAUCUCGAAUACCAUCAAUCUGGAAUCAUCUGGAAUAUCACUUCCAGCAACUAUGGACAAGCUUCGUGAACUCUACAUUUUUAGGAGUUGCAAUAUCUCUGAGAUAAAGAUGGGAAGGAUAUGCAGCUUCUUGAGCCUCGUCAAAGUGCUUAUACAAGAUUGUAAAGGCCUGAGGGAAUUGACAUUUCUGAUGUUCGCUCCAAAUCUUAAAUUUUUGUAUGUUGAUGAUGCAAAAGACCUAGAAGAUAUAAUAAACAAAGAGAAAGCUUGUGAAGUUGAAAUUAGGAUUGUUCCUUUUCAAAAGCUGACUAAUCUUCAUUUGGAGCAUCUACCGAAGCUGGAGAAUAUAUACUGGAGUCCUCUAUCCUUUCCAUGUCUAAAGAAAAUCGAUGUAUUCGAAUGUCCAAACCUGAAAACAAUUCCAAAAGUGGCAAGGAGGGUGAUAAUGGACUCAGCAUAUGAUAUAACAAAUGGAUUGAAGGUGUGGAAUGGAAGGACUCUCACUCUCUUUUUUUUUUUCUUUUGGAUUUAGAAUUGCUUCUGUUAAAUUUUACUUCGAUCUUUUUGUUUUCACUACACUCAAAACAUUGGUGCAAAUUUUGUAGUUAGAUUGGUUGUUUUUCGAAUUGUGUAUGUACAUUGGAACCGAUUUAAACACAUAUCUAGUUAAUCAAUAAAUAGUAUUAUCAAUUGCCAUUGCAUAAGAAAUCGAACAUGUGAAAAACAACUUACGCAUAAAAUUAUAUUGGGAAAAAUGUCGUUUUAUCUCCCAACUUUCAAAAAGUGGUCAAUCAAUACGUCAACUUCAUAUGUGGCCAUUUAAAACAUUAAAUAAACGUUGACUAACGUUUGAGACAAGGAAAUUCGUUGACCAGGCCAAAAUAGACAUGCCGUUAUCAGUCGUUAACGGAACCUCUAACGCCCGUUAUCACCCGUAACGACUCUGUUAAUCAACUUUCAAAUUGUGGCCAUUUUAAACAUCAACUUUAUAUGUGGUCAUUUAAAACAUGAACUAAUCGUUGACUAACAUUUGAAACAUGAGAAUUCGUUGACCAGGCCAAAAUAGACAUAUCGUCAUCAUUCGUUAAAAAAACCUAUAACAUCCGUUAUCACCCGUUAACGACUCUGUUAGUAUAUCCAAAACGACGUCGUUUUGAAAAUAAUCGAGAGAAAAUCAGGACAAAUUUUUUGUUUAAAGCAUAAUCCAAGGACAUGGUUUGAUAUAUAGACAAUCGUAGAGCCAAUAAUUGGAAGCAAACAUCGUUUAUAUAUUUGUUUUAAAUCUAAAAAGGAAUCAUGAAAGCAAACUUGUAGACCCAUCAUAGGACUAAAAUAGGCAUGGGCGUUCAGAUAUUCGGGUCAGGUUCGGGUUGGGUUUUUCGGGUUUGGGUUUUUCGGGUUUAGAAAACUAAGAUCCAUUCGGGUAUUUUAAAACUUCGGGUUCGGGUCAAGUUCGGAUCGGGUAUUUCGGGUUCGGAUUCAGGUUUACCCAAAGUAUCCAAAUAUUAGAAAUUUUGUAUCCGAUCCUAUGCAAAGUAUUGAAAAAUAAUCAAAAAAUCUAUAAAACCCAAGUAUUUUAACCCGAAUCUAACCCAAAGUAGCUAAAACACCCAAAAAUAUCUUAACAUCCGAAUAAUUUUGGCACUUAGGUUAUUACAAGUAUAAAUAUUACUAAUAUAUUAUAACUAUGUACUUAUAUUUUGGGUAUGUUCGAGUACUUGUUCGGGUUCGAGUUCGGGUCGGGUUCGGGCCUAGACUAAAUGUAGCUUUUCUGAAAUGGAGAUAGAGAUAAUAGGACUAUUCAUCUUGUUUGAGCUGUUGUAGAAAUAGAUUUGGGGAUUUGGUGUUUUCAUUUGGGAAAAAUCUUUUUGGACAUACUAACAGUGUCGUUAACGGGUGAUAACGGAUGUUAUAGGUUCUGUUAACGAAUGAUGACGACAUGUCUACUUUGGCCUGGUCAACGAAUUCUAAUGUUUCAAAUGUUAGUCAACGAUUAGUUCAUGUUUUGAAUGGCCAAAUAUGAAGUUGAUGUUUAAAAUGGCCACAAUUUGAAAGUUGAUUAACAGAGUCGUUACGGGUGAUAACGGGCGUUAGAAGUUCCGUUAACGACUGAUAACGGCAUGUCUAUUUUGGCCUGGUCAACGAAUUUCUAUGUCUCAAACGUUAGUCAACGUUUAUUUCAUGUUUUAAAUGGCCACAUAUGAAGUUGACGUAUUGAUUGGCCACUUUUUGAAAGUUGGGAGAUAAAACGACAUUUUUCCCAAAUUAUAUUGGUCGAUUUUGUAGAUUAUUAGUAUCCGUGUAAAGUCUACGUCGCUGGUGGUCUUGCAAUUUAAGGUGCAGUGGUGGGUCAGAUUCCUUCUUCGUCAGCGGUGGUGUGGUGUCCUCUCCGACGAUCUUGCGGUGGCUCCAGUUGGGCGGUGGGUCGAUCUGGUGUUGUCAUCUCUGGUUAAGGACGCUGGAGGUUUCAUCGGAGUCGUACCGUGGCUCAGCCGUUCGAUUGGUCGCUGCAGCAACGGCGGAAGUCGGCGGAGAGGUGGUGGGUUUCGCUGAGUUGUUUAGGUGGUUCACGGUAGACCGGCAAUCUUGAUGGCUUCUGCGGGUUACAGAUCUAGAAUGCUUGCGUGAGCCUGCAGCCUUUAGAUCUGCCGUGGUGGUGUCCACCUGACCGAAUUGAAGGUUUUGUCUCUGAGAUCUGUUGGAUUUUCCGGUAUGGUUUGCGGGGAUAGUCUCCAGUGGGUCGGAUCGCUAGGCAUGGGAUCUGACUCCGUAGAGCCAUUUGUUGGCGAGUUGCGUUUCCCGGGAGGACUGUAGCGGGUUCGGUGGCUCGGUGGUGUGAAACCGACGGCAGAAAUCGGAUUCUUUCGUCAUUGGCAUCACUCCCUCGUCGCUGCCACAAAGCCGUCGUCCUUGUUUCCGCUGGGGUUGGUGCGUCUGAUUCGUUGCCUCCGGUCGACAGCAAGUUCCGAGCCGCAGCUCCGUUUUCAGGUCAUUUUCCGAUUUGUUUCUCUCUUUCGUAACUGUACCCACGAAUUGUAAGCCCAUUGGCCCAAACCCAUUAAGGGGUUUUAUGAAUAAAAAAAAAACUCUUCGUCUGGUUCCCUUUGUCAACCAUCAAAAGUUUCACCAAUGAACCUAAAACUAGCAGAAAGAAAAAAGCAAGCCUUGAAGUUGCUCAUUGUUCUACUUCUGCUAUAAUUUAAACAACUUUUAAUCACCUUAGGUAUAUUUAAACAAGAUAAAAAAAAGUAUAUAAUAUCUUCUACUAUAAUUUCUCAAAGAACAAUUCUUGGGGUGAACCUCUUUCAUUCACCCCUUCUUAAUUAACCAAUUAGAAUUUGUCAUGUCAUCCAAUAAACCAAAUUAAAAUAAUUAAUAUUUUAUAAACUCAAACCGACUUAUAAUUUUAUUUAAUUAUAAAAUCUAAAUCCUAACCACUCUUUUAUAAACCCAAACCGACAUAUAAUUCCAUUUAAUUGUAAAAUGUAAACCUUAACCACUCUUAUGUAAACCCAAACCGACAUAAUUUUGCUUAAUUGUAAAAUCUAAACCCUAAACCUCAUUUAUAAACCCAAAUCGAUAUAUAAUUUUGUUUAAUUAUAAAAUCUAAACCCUAAUUGAUAUUUUAUAAACCCAAACCGACAUACAAUUUAGUUUAAUUGUAAAAGCUAAACCCUAAUCCACAUUUGUAAACCCAAACCAACAUAUACUUUUGUUUAAUUAUAAAUUUAAACCCUA